This 85-nucleotide transfer RNA is filed under the name bacterium. RNAcentral's name for it is "tRNA-Ser". It matches the Rfam family "tRNA". From Rfam's summary of the family: Transfer RNA (tRNA) molecules are approximately 80 nucleotides in length. The record is from RNAcentral.
GGAGGGGUGACCGAGUGGUUGAAGGUACCGCUCUCGAAAAGCGGCAUGGGGCAACUCAUCGCGAGUUCGAAUCUCGCCUCCUCCG